Molecule: ribosomal RNA, 450 nt
Filed under: uncultured Glomus
Lineage: Eukaryota; Fungi; Glomeromycota; Glomeromycetes; Glomerales; Glomeraceae
Also listed under: 1 other name
Description: SSU rRNA
Rfam family: Eukaryotic small subunit ribosomal RNA
Source: RNAcentral
AGCAGCCGCGGUAAUUCCAGCUCCAAUAGCGUAUAUUAAAGUUGUUGCAGUUAAAAAGCUCGUAGUUGAAUUUCGGGAUUAGUACGUUGGUCGUGCCUUAGGUACGUACUGGUGUUACUGGUUCCUACCUUCUGACGAACCAUCAUGUCAUUAAUUUGGUGUGGCGGGGAAUCAGGACUGUUACUUUGAAAAAUUAGAGUGUUUAAAGCAGGCUCGCGCUUGAAUACAUUAGCAUGGAAUAAUGAAAUAGGACGUUGACCCUAUUUUGUUGGUUUCUAGGAUUGACGUAAUGAUUAAUAGGGAUAGUUGGGGGCAUUAGUAUUCAAUUGUCAGAGGUGAAAUUCUUGGAUUUAUUGAAGACUAACUACUGCGAAAGCAUUUGCCAAGGAUGUUUUCAUUAAUCAAGAACGAAAGUUAGGGGAUCGAAGACGAUCAGAUACCGUCGUAGUC